Molecule: non-coding RNA, 100 nt
Filed under: Rhizobium sp.
Lineage: Bacteria; Pseudomonadati; Pseudomonadota; Alphaproteobacteria; Hyphomicrobiales; Rhizobiaceae
Also listed under: 1 other name
Description: TPP sequence
Rfam family: TPP riboswitch aptamer (THI element)
About the family: Vitamin B(1) in its active form thiamin pyrophosphate (TPP) is an essential coenzyme that is synthesised by coupling of pyrimidine and thiazole moieties in bacteria. The previously detected thiamin-regulatory element, thi box was extended, resulting in a new, highly conserved RNA secondary structure, the THI element, which is widely distributed in eubacteria and also occurs in some archaea.
Source: RNAcentral
ACCGAUCUAACGGGGUGCCACUUUGUGGCUGAGAGGCUUUCGCCAACCCGCAGAACCUGAUCCGGUUCACACCGGCGGAGGGAUUAGAACGGCGUCCAUC